This is a long non-coding RNA of Vespa crabro (European hornet), 582 nucleotides long. RefSeq lists it as uncharacterized. Lineage: Eukaryota; Metazoa; Arthropoda; Insecta; Hymenoptera; Vespidae. The record is from RefSeq and is a predicted model, not a curated record. The transcript is spliced from 4 exons.
GGUCGCGCGGGAAUCUCAUUAUUUUAAUCGUGUGUAAUAUUGUGAAUUUUGAUUUUCCUGCUUCAAUAUUCGUUGCAUAUGGUUUACCGACGCUGGAAUUAUCGACGCUGGGAUUAUCGACGCUGGAAUUAUCGACGCUGGGAUUAUCGACGUUGGAUUUAUCGACGCAAGAUUUAUCGACGCUGGAUUUAUCGACGGAUUUUAUCUGUCUAAUGUCUGCAGUUAUCUUCCUCACAAGUAUCACUGCUACCGAUAACAAUUAUCAUUCGUGUAGAUAUACUUUUUCAGUAAAGUAUAUAGAUAACACAUGGUGCCAACAUCGAUGUUGGCGUACGAUGCGACGUGGGACCGAUGAGAAUAAAAGUGCGCGCCUGCGUGUAUUCGUGAAAGAGAAAUAAACGAAGAAAUGGAACCGAUGAAACGUCGUUCGAAGAAAUCUUUCAUCGAUGGAUGAAUCAAUGCUCGGUCCGUCGUUGAAAAAAAGACUUACGUUCGUCGCGUGAUUAUGUGGGCCAACCAUCUGUCCUAUGCCCUGGUGUCCCUGAAGAGGAUUGUGACCAGGAUGAACGUUCUGUCCAGGUG